CAGUCGCCGCGGUAAUACGGAGGGGGCUAGCGUUGUUCGGAAUUACUGGGUGUAAAGCGCACGUAGGCGGCUUGGUAAGUUAGAGGUGAAAGCCUGGAGCUCAACUCCAGAAUUGCCUUUAAGACUGCCGAGCUAGCAGGUGAGAGAGGUAAGUGGAAUUCCGAGUGUAGAGGUGAAAUUCGUAGAUAUUCGGAAGAACACCAGUGGCGAAGGCGGCUUACUGGCUCAUACUGGACGCUGAGGUGCGAAAGCGUGGGGAGCAAACAGGAUUAGAUACCCGCGUAGUCCCUGUCUCUUAUAC
Molecule: ribosomal RNA, 301 nt
Filed under: uncultured bacterium
Lineage: Bacteria
Description: partial 16S ribosomal RNA
Rfam family: Bacterial small subunit ribosomal RNA
Source: RNAcentral